GACGAACGCUGGCGGCGUGCUUAACACAUGCAAGUCGAACGAAGAGCGAUGGAAGCUUGCUUCUAUCAAUCUUAGUGGCGAACGGGUGAGUAACGCGUAAUCAACCUGCCCUUCAGAGGGGGACAACAGUUGGAAACGACUGCUAAUACCGCAUACGAUCCAAUCUCGGCAUCGGGACUGGAUGAAAGGUGGCCUCUAUUUAUAAGCUAUCACUGAAGGAGGGGAUUGCGUCUGAUUAGCUAGUUGGAGGGGUAACGGCCCACCAAGGCGAUGAUCAGUAGCCGGUCUGAGAGGAUGAACGGCCACAUUGGGACUGAGACACGGCCCAGACUCCUACGGGAGGCAGCAGUGGGGAAUCUUCCGCAAGGGACGAAAGUCUGACGGAGCAACGCCGCGGGAGUGAUGACGGCCUUCGGGUUGUAAAGCUCGGUUAAUCGGGACGAAUGGUUCUUGUGCGAAUAGUGCGAGGAUUUGACGGUACCGGAAGAGAAAGCCACGGCUAACUACGUG
RNAcentral lists this ribosomal RNA (510 nucleotides) under uncultured bacterium. Its description in RNAcentral is "partial 16S ribosomal RNA". It matches the Rfam family "Bacterial small subunit ribosomal RNA", at positions 28 to 507 of the family's 1533-position model. The record is from RNAcentral.